AGACUCCUACGGGAGGCAGCAGUGAGGAAUAUUGGUCAAUGGACGAGAGUCUGAACCAGCCAAGUAGCGUGCAGGAAGACGGCCCUAUGGGUUGUAAAACUGCUUUUAUAAGGGAAUAAAAGUGAGUCUCGUGAGACUUUUUGCAUGUACCUUAUGAAUAAGGACCGGCUAAUUCCGUGC
Molecule: ribosomal RNA, 180 nt
Filed under: uncultured bacterium
Lineage: Bacteria
Description: partial 16S ribosomal RNA
Rfam family: Bacterial small subunit ribosomal RNA
Source: RNAcentral